CAGCCGCCGCGGGAAUACGGAGGGGGCUAGCGUUGUUCGGAAUUACUGGGCGUAAAGCGCACGUAGGCGGCUUGGUAAGUUAGAGGUGAAAGCCUGGAGCUCAACUCCAGAAUUGCCUUUAAGACUGCCGAGCUAGUAGGUGAGAGAGGUAAGUGGAAUUCCGAGUGUAGAGGUGAAAUUCGUAGAUAUUCGGAAGAACACCAGUGGCGAAGGCGGCUUACUGGCUCAUUCUAGACGCUGAGGUGCAAAAGCGUGGGGAGCAAACAGGAUUAGAUACCCCAGUAGUCCCUGUCUCUUAUAC
RNAcentral lists this ribosomal RNA (301 nucleotides) under uncultured bacterium. Its description in RNAcentral is "partial 16S ribosomal RNA". It matches the Rfam family "Bacterial small subunit ribosomal RNA", at positions 509 to 807 of the family's 1533-position model. The record is from RNAcentral.